RNAcentral lists this ribosomal RNA (414 nucleotides) under uncultured archaeon. Its description in RNAcentral is "partial 16S ribosomal RNA". It matches the Rfam family "Archaeal small subunit ribosomal RNA", at positions 330 to 747 of the family's 1478-position model. The record is from RNAcentral.
GUGCAGCAGGCGCGAAAAUUUCGCAAUGCGCGAAAGCGUGACGAAGCAACUCGGAGUGCUUCACGAAAGUGGAGCUUUUGCCAAGGCUGAAAACUUUGGAGAAUAAGGAGAGGGCAAGUCUGGUGUCAGCCGCCGCGGUAAUACCAGCUCUCCGAGUGGUGGGGAUGUUUAUUGGGCCUGAAGCAUCCGUAGCUGGCUGAGCAAGUUCUCCGUUAAAUCCAGCGAUUUAAUCGUUGGACUGCGGAGGAUACUGUUCGGCUAGGGGGCGGGAGAGGCCGACGGUAUUCUCGGGGUAGGGGUGAAAUCCUAUAAUCCCGGGAAGACCACCAGUGGCGAAGGCUGUCGGCUAGAACGCGCCCGACGGUGAGGGAUGAAAGCUGGGGGAGCGAACCGGAUUAGAUACCCCGGUAGUCC